AUACGGAGGGUGCAAGCGUUGUCCGGAUUUAUUGGGUUUAAAGGGUGCGUAGGCGGCUUGACAAGUCAGUGGUGAAAUCCUCCCGCUCAACGGGAGAACUGCCAUUGAAACUGUAAGGCUUGAGGACAGUCGAGGUAGGCGGAAUUUAUGGUGUAGCGGUGAAAUGCAUAGAUACCAUAAAGAACACCGAUAGCGAAGGCAGCUUACUAGACUGUAUCUGACGCUGAGGCACGAAAGCGUGGGGAGCGAACAGGAUUAGAAACCCGGGUAGUCC
This 274-nucleotide ribosomal RNA is filed under the name uncultured bacterium. RNAcentral's name for it is "partial 16S ribosomal RNA". It matches the Rfam family "Bacterial small subunit ribosomal RNA", at positions 523 to 796 of the family's 1533-position model. The record is from RNAcentral.